RNAcentral lists this unclassified non-coding RNA (287 nucleotides) under Hevea brasiliensis (rubber tree). Lineage: Eukaryota; Viridiplantae; Streptophyta; Magnoliopsida; Malpighiales; Euphorbiaceae. The record is from RNAcentral.
UUAAAUGCUUUGACUGAAACAGCUCGCAUAGAGGGGAAGGUUCUGGAAUGGGAGAGAUCGGAAGAGGGGCCCAGUAUGAGAGAUCGGAAAAAUCAGAAGGAAUGGGAGGACAGAAAGCAAGGAAAGGAUAAGAUAAUUUCCGAUGACCCUUUUCAUAAUCAGAGCCGAGGUAAUUAAAACGUUGCAGGCAAGAUCAAAUCUUUACCGCACACUUCAUUUGCAGAAUCGCCCACAAUGCUGACAGGCGUCAGGACAUGUCAUGGCAGUCCUGUACAUCUCGAUCUCCA